UAUUAAAAUUUUCAUCUAUUUGUACUGUUAAAAAUUGGCAUGAUUGACAGAAUAACCGGACAAAGACAUUUUACGUAUAAUAUGUAUUUUAUGCCAACGUUCGUGAACCAAUUUGUAAUAACAGAAAUGGAUGAAAAUUUUAACA
Non-coding RNA from Gossypium arboreum, 145 nucleotides. The record is from Rfam. NCBI's taxonomy places the organism in Eukaryota, Viridiplantae, Streptophyta, Magnoliopsida, Malvales, Malvaceae.